UGAUCUUCCAGUUCUCUUCAGGACAUA
Molecule: non-coding RNA, 27 nt
Filed under: Rattus norvegicus (Norway rat)
Lineage: Eukaryota; Metazoa; Chordata; Mammalia; Rodentia; Muridae
Source: RNAcentral